UUUUGGGGAGGGAUUUGGAGAUUUUGGGGACUUUUGGGGUGGUUUGGAGGGGGUGGAAAAAAGAAAAUUGGGGAAUUUGGGGAUUUUUGGGGUCCCUGGGGUGUUUUGGGGAGCCUGGAAGGGGUGGGGGGAGGGAAAACUGGGGAGGAUUUGAGGAUUUUGGGGGGGAUUUGGGGAGUUUUGGGGUUCUCUGAUGCAUUUGGGGUCUGGGGUCUCCCCUCCAGGGCACAGCCCCCCCCCGAGCAGCAGCUCCAGUUCCUUCAGGACCUUUUGGACGCCGUCCCCCCCCUUGAGACCCCCCCCAAAACCAGGCCCCCCCAAACCACCCAGUUCCUGCUGAAGCUGCUGGAGACCCCCGAGGGGGGGGCGGCCCUGAGACCCCCGCCCCCCCCCCCAGUUCCUGUGGAGCUCUCCGAGACCCCCCCCAGACCCAGGAGACCCCUCCCCGAAUUGGAGGCGGAAUUGGGGGGGGUCCGGCGGGGCCUGGAGGAGCUGCAGGCCCAGCUGUCAAAUUUAGGGGGGUCCCCGGCCCCCUCCCCCCCAAAUUUGGGGGUCCUGGUGGGGACUCUGACCUCGUUGGCUGCAGAUUUUGGGGCCUCUGAGCUCCGGGGCCCCCUGGCACCCCCCCAGGACCCCCCAAAUUUGGGGGGAAGGGGGCCGGGUCCCCCCUGUGGGGAGGGGGCUGCGGAAUCUCAGCCAGGUGAGGGGGGGAAUUUUGGGAGGAAUUUGGGGAGGGGGUUUGGAUUUGGGGGAUUUUUGGAGGGAAUUUG
RNAcentral lists this long non-coding RNA (770 nucleotides) under Taeniopygia guttata (zebra finch). RNAcentral describes it as "lncRNA (ENSTGUG00000023357.1)". The record is from RNAcentral. Lineage: Eukaryota; Metazoa; Chordata; Aves; Passeriformes; Estrildidae.